AAUAGAUACCCUGGUAGUCCACGCCGUAAACGGUGGGCACUAGAUGUGGGGCUCUUUCCAUGAGUUCCGCGUCGCAGCUAACGCAUUAAGUGCCCCGCCUGGGGAGUACGGCCGCAAGGCUAAAACUCAAAGGAAUUGACGGGGGCCCGCACAAGCGGCGGAGCAUGCGGAUUAAUUCGAUGCAACGCGAAGAACCUUACCAAGGCUUGACAUAUACGGUCUAUCCCUAGAGAUAGGGAGUGCUUCGGCGCCGUAUACAGGUGGUGCAUGGUUGUCGUCAGCUCGUGUCGUGAGAUGUUGGGUUAAGUCCCGCAACGAGCGCAACCCUCGUUCUAUGUUGCCAGCACGUAAUGGUGGGGACUCAUAGGAGACUGCCGGGGUCAACUCGGAGGAAGGUGGGGAUGACGUCAAAUCAUCAUGCCCCUUAUGUCUUGGGCUUCACGCAUGCUACAAUGGCCGGUACAAAGGGCUGCAAUACCGUAAGGUGAGCGAAUCCCAAAAAGCCGGUCUCAGUUCGGA
Molecule: ribosomal RNA, 519 nt
Filed under: uncultured bacterium
Lineage: Bacteria
Description: bacterial SSU rRNA
Rfam family: Bacterial small subunit ribosomal RNA
Source: RNAcentral